GACGAACGCUGGCGGCGUGCUUAACACAUGCAAGUCGAACGGAAAGGCCUGCUUUCCCUUGUGGAUUGCGGGUACUCGCGUGGCGAACGGGUGAGUAACACGUGAGUGAUCUGCCCCCAACUUGGGAAUAAGCCUGGGAAACUGGGUCUAAUUCCCGAUAGGACUGCAGGGUGGUGCCUGUGGUGGAACACGAUUUUCUAGUGGUUGGGGAUGAGCUCGCGGCCUAUCAGCUUGUUGGUGGGGUAAUGGCCUACCAAGGCGGCGACGGGUAGCCGGCCUGAGAGGGUGGACGGCCACAUUGGGACUGAGAUACGGCCCAGACUCCUACGGGAGGCAGCAGUGGGGAAUAUUGCACAAUGGGCGGAAGCCUGAUGCAGCGACGCCGCGGGGGGGAUGACGGCCUUCGGGUUGUAAACUCCUUUCGACCGCGAGGAAGCCACCUGGUUGGAAGGGUGGUGACGGUAGUGGUAGAAGAAGCACCGGCUAACUACGUG
RNAcentral lists this ribosomal RNA (494 nucleotides) under uncultured bacterium. Its description in RNAcentral is "partial 16S ribosomal RNA". It matches the Rfam family "Bacterial small subunit ribosomal RNA", at positions 28 to 507 of the family's 1533-position model. The record is from RNAcentral.